AUGCUCCCUUUGGCAGCACAUACACUACAAUUGGAAUGAGACCGAGAUUAGCAUGGUCCCUGUACAGGAUGGCACACAGAGUCGUGAAGCAUUUCAUCUUUUC
Small nuclear RNA from Echinops telfairi (small Madagascar hedgehog), 103 nucleotides. The record is from RefSeq and is a predicted model, not a curated record. NCBI's taxonomy places the organism in Eukaryota, Metazoa, Chordata, Mammalia, Afrosoricida, Tenrecidae.